CACACACACACACACACACAAAUUUUCCAGGAAAAUGUUUGAUGCCUCAUGAUCAGGAGAUUAAGCAAUGGGAGCAAGAUUAAAUCCCUCAGGCAAACACUCGACAAAUGAUCACUAGACACAGUGACUUUGUAAUAAUGACCAUCACCUUGCCGUUUCAUUUAAUGUUUAAAAGAAGAUUCUGGAAGUACCCAACAAAAUGGAAGAAGAAACAGAGAAAAAAUAAAGAGAAUGUUGCUAUCUCAACUAUCUACUACUAUUUUAGAGUCUUCAAGGACACAAACAAUUUUUUUAAAAAAACUUUUGCUUCCAAGAUUUAUGAAUUCUGACUACAAGGAGAAACCGAGGAAAGCAUUCUGAGAAUCUGUGCUUCUACUGUGCUAAUGUGUCAAAUAAGGAUUAUCAAGAAGACUGACGAAGUAGCAUAUUUGGAAGAACUUUGAGAACCUACUUAAGAAAGCAUUACAUAUGUGUGAAGUAUUGUAAAGAGGCAAUGGAGGAAAAUGUAUUGGCUGGGGAAACAAUUGGCAACAGGCAGAAGGCAACAUUUCUAGCAGCUGGACAGAAAAUGUGAAGCAAUACUGAGCCAGGUGAAUGGAAAAAGGAUUUAGUUUUAUUGGAGGAGGAUGACAAGCGCCAGCAAUGUGGAAAGAAGUGGAAAGCAGACUUGACUGUUUGGAGAACAUUCUUGGAGAGUACCUGAUGAGAAUUCCAGAUUGUCAACUGGACGUUUACCUUAAGUUUCCCAGGUGCCAACUCCUUGCCAUGGAAUUUCAAUAGACAUUUGUUUUUAAG
Long non-coding RNA from Gorilla gorilla gorilla (western lowland gorilla), 795 nucleotides. RefSeq lists it as uncharacterized. NCBI's taxonomy places the organism in Eukaryota, Metazoa, Chordata, Mammalia, Primates, Hominidae. The transcript has 5 exons. The record is from RefSeq and is a predicted model, not a curated record.